UGCAUAAAGCAACUUGAGUGCUCUAUCAC
Molecule: non-coding RNA, 29 nt
Filed under: Rattus norvegicus (Norway rat)
Lineage: Eukaryota; Metazoa; Chordata; Mammalia; Rodentia; Muridae
Source: RNAcentral